This is a long non-coding RNA of Heterocephalus glaber (naked mole-rat), 2225 nucleotides long. RefSeq lists it as uncharacterized. Lineage: Eukaryota; Metazoa; Chordata; Mammalia; Rodentia; Bathyergidae. The record is from RefSeq and is a predicted model, not a curated record.
CAUCCUCUGUUAAAAAUAAACCUGGAGGCUCAAUUCUCUAAAUGUCUUGUCCAGGAUAUUAACCAACACUGUGAAUGCCAUUCGAGGUAAAGUCUUCUCCAUCAAAGGCUGUUGAUGAAGAACCAGGCUUCUGCCAUGUGCUCACACUUCUUCAAACUGAUGACAUCCCAUGGUGAAGGUGAAGCUGGAGGGAGUAGAGGUGCCUGCGUACUUCACAAUGAGAUCCAGUUUCAACAUGUGAAGCCUUGGGGGACACACUCAACGAUGUCCAAAUGGCUGGGACUCUAGCUGCUUUGACAAAGUGCUCAGAAGUAUCCAAAUUCAUUACAAUGGUGCAUGGAAAACCAGAUUUGCAAGUUUUGGAGGAGGUUGAAAGUGAAUCAUCAGGUGACUCAUGCAUUGAUGAUGAUGAUGAUGAUGAUAAUUGAUGUUGGCCGUGUGAGCCAAAGUUCCUGUGAUGCUGAAAUGGAGCAAGAAUUGACUGAUAUAGACACAAGGAAUAAAGACCUCCCUGAUUCAGAUGAUGAAGAAAACAGCAAUCUUAGUACAUGUAUGACUAGUCCAAAUGGUACAAAAUGGUCAUGAAACCAAAUGAAAUGAUCCAAUGUUAGAACUAGGUCCAAAAAUAUAGUGAGGAUCUUGGCAGGGUGAAUCCAAUUGGAUGGAAUGUCAGCACUACCAUUCAAUGUUGGAAAUUAUUUGUAAGAGAAAAAAUGCUACAAGAUGUUGUGAAAUUCACAAAUGAUGAAAUACAAGUAAAAAGUUCUUUAUGCAUUGAUAACCAUACUAAAAAAUGUGUUUAUUGUGACCUCUUACUAGCUGAACUGAAAGCAUUCUCUUACUUUCUGAACUGAAAGCAUUCAUAGGUCUGCUGUACUUAGCAGGGCUUUCUCAUGAUAAUUGCAGGAAUUUAAAAGCUUUAUGGAGAAGUGAUGAGUGUGUUUAUAGAAUAACAAUGACACUGAGAAAAUUUGGUUUCCUUCAAAAUUGCCUGAAGCUUGAUGACAAAACCACUCACCAAGAAGGAGGAAGAAAUGAUAAUUCCGCUGCUGUCCACUCAUUGUUUGAGAGUUUUGUUUCAAAUUGUCAAGCAAUUUAUGCAACAUCUGAACACAUGACUAUUGAUGAACAUCUUGUAGCUUUUCAUGGUCACUGUAGCUUUAGGCAGUAUAUGCCCCCCCAAAUUCUUCAAAAUAUGGUAUAUUUUGAAUAUAUUCCUUAGUAGAUGCGAAGACAUUUAUAGUUUCAAUUUAGAAACUUAUUCUGAACUCAGUCACCAGGUUUUUAUUUGUAUUGUAAUAAAACUAAUGAUGUUGUGAACAGGCUUGUUGGUCCCAUCUCCCAAACUAAUUGGAAUGUGACAUUUUGAAUGGGAAAAUGCUUCCCUACAGUUAAAGCCAGACUUACUGAUGGGGAAGUCCCCCUACCCCCACUCUCUCAACACAUUUGAGCUUGCCUAGCUUGAUGCUACCUCACAAAUAUCUCAGGAAUUUUCUUUGUUCUCAAGCAGUUUCUACCUUCCCACCAGAUGUAAAUGAGAUGUGACUCCAUGCACUGUAAUGCUUGAUAACCAGUGAAUUUGCUUAAACCUCUAUAACCUGAACUCUUUGUAACCACUGAAAAGAAUGUAAAAUGUCUGUAAACCCACCCUCUUCUGAGAGUAUAUCUUGCCCUGUUCUACCUCAAGGGGGGGUCAGUCUCUUGGAAUGUGAACUCAUGCUGACCCACCAGUGCUGAAAAAUAAAGUGUGCUUUUCACUUUGGCUCGGAGACUUCCGGUAUGCUUUCCAUCCUCCCAGACUGCCAGCAUGGAACCGAAUUUUCUGCUUCAAUUUUAUUGUAGAUAGGUAAGUUAUUUAGAUAUCUUAUAGGCAGUUAGGGCUGGUCAUUGAGGAGUCAACAUGGAGGACAAUCAAAAUACAUUCACUGAAGACCAGCGUUAUAAAAAGAGAAACUUGCGGGGAAGCCACCCCAUCCAGCCCGUGCCAGCCAGGCACAUCUGCGGAUGCCACAGAGUGGUCUCCUGUCGCAGGAAACCCGCCCCAUCCAGCCCGCACCCCAGGCAGCGAUCCACUUAGCUGCGAAGGUGCCUGCAGGACCCCCGCCCAACUCCUCUGGCCUCUUAGCUGGACUGCCACCUGGUUCCGCACUACAGAGACACAGGGCACACCAGACCAGCAGACCACCAUACUGGGUAAGUUGGAGGGAUCAUCACCUCCCAUUGGA